CUAUGUCGACAAAGUUGCAUAGUACCGAAUCUGAAAAUAGAUUAUUGCGUAUACCUAUAUUUAACUCAUGCAGUUCAACAUGAUCAGCAAAUCCAAGUGAAUGAAUGAUCAUUUUCAGUACUGUCAUGUUGGUGUGGAUCAUACAAACAUGGAUCUGAAGAGAACGUUUAUAUCGAUCUUCUGGACGGCACGGUGACGGACUCCGUGGAGGCCACGUCUCUGACCUUCAACAACGACUUCAUUGAUGUGUACGUGUGCUGCUGGGGCCCGCGGGACGACGGACAGGAAAUGGCCGGGCCGGGGACACUCACACAGAAAGCACUGAGGCUGGGCAAGGUGRGAGUUAGACAGUGUAUUUGUGUGGGCGUCUGGUAAUGGUUGGUGAACGACCACUGUGGAGCAGACGGCUAUGUCAACAGUGUCUACAGCAUUGCCGUUGGGGCUGUCACCCACACGGGCAAGCGCGCCUUUUUAGGUGAGCACUGCCCUGCCGUCAUGGCUGUCACUCUAACUGGAGCCAGUUUGGGAAACACACUACCCCUAGUGACAGUGUCCAAUCUAGGGGACGGUUGUGUCACCCACUUUGCGGGMACAUCCAGUGCUGCACCCAUCGCGGCUGGGAUUCUGGCCCUUGUCCUGGAGAACAAGUYAGCCUUGGUCAUCCUCUCCCCUCCUGAACCUUACUCAACUGUUGCGUCAUUUUCUCCACUAUCGGUUUUUCAUCUGCAUUCCAUGGCUUAGUCCUGACUUGACAUGGUGGGAUGUGCAGCAUCUGAUCGCCAUGACAGCCAAGGUCCCCGCCCCCAAAGAGCCAGGAUUUUGUGUCAACGGAGCAGGGUACCACAUCCAUGACAGGUACUAGUUACASACACGGUGUAAACACACCACACACAUKAUGUAUACCACAUAUACUGUACUGUAGCCAGUGUUGGGAUUAGUUACUUGGGGAAAGUAAUGUAUUACAUAUUACUCGUUGCGUUUAACAAAAGUAACAUGUUACUUAACAAUAUUACUUUGUGUGGAAAUGAAUGUGUGAGAUUACUCAUUAUAUUACUUUGCGUUACUUUCCUGAUAAAUUGUUUGACUAUCGGGGGGAGCAAGGCGAGCUACUUACUAACUCAGGUUUGAUAACUGGUUUCUCCUUUCAUCUGUGGCACUGCUUUCCUGUGCUACUCUACACGUGCUGCUUAAUUAUCCAUAUAUACUAUUAGCCAAAGAUCUGUACAGAUUUACUAWCUUUUCAUUCWAAAUCUUUCUCUAGAGCCUCCAMUUCUGGUUAUAGACCGCACGGACAUGGACCCAUAGAGACGUAUASAUGACACACGUGCCACUAUCACAGAAGCAAUCAAUGGCAAAGAGCAGAGGUUAACCCUCUAUACAUUUUUAUGGAGGUAGCUGUCAUGACAAACAGCCUUUCUCCACUCGCUUGCGAGAACUAAAUUAAGUUGAGAUCGGAUKAUGGAAACGCGCCCAGUAGAGAUAGGAUUCUGAAAGUAACGCAUGCAUUAGUUGACAAAGUAACUGUAAUAAUAUUACCCAA
This is a non-coding RNA of Salvelinus sp. IW2-2015, 1540 nucleotides long. Lineage: Eukaryota; Metazoa; Chordata; Actinopteri; Salmoniformes; Salmonidae. The record is from RefSeq and is a predicted model, not a curated record.